UCUCCCACCCACCUCCUGGUCUUCCUGCUCUCUUCCCCCGCCCUGGGCUCUACUGAGCGCAGCAGAGGAGAGAGAAGACGUUCUGCACUUCCUUGGGGAAUGGGAUACAAAUCCCAGGCAUGCCGCAGCGAGAAAAAACUUUUUAUAGAGAGAGGGGGAAAGGGAAAGAAAGAAAAGUCCCUUUCAGGACCCGGGGAUUUCAUUUCUAAACGAGAAACACCGAUCUAAGGGCGGAGAACCCGGAGUGGACGCGGGGACAGCUCGGGUCCCGGCCCAGCUUCCCCUUUUCUGCUCCGGCGUCGGCGAAGAGACUUAAGGGGUUUCUUGGAGACCCCGGAAGAGUGACUUGCAACUUGAGCGCUCAAUUAAAAACAAAAAACAAAAAACCAACCAACCAAAAAAAGCUAACCGAACCCCGAAAAUUCAAAUCCCAACAAAAUCCGAAGGCGGAUGCCAGAGAGCGGCCAGUCAGAGUGCAUCGCCGCAGCCGGUGACCUCCUUUCUCCCGAGGGUUUCUUGUUUAACUGGUUGCGUCCCCUGCCCUCCCGUUCCCCAGGGAGCCGAAGGGGAGUCUCUGCCCCCAAGGUGCUUAAUGGCUAGCAAGCUGACUUUGUUCAGGUAAACUCUCUGAAAACCACAACAAAAGCACCCUGUAAAGAUACAAGCCUGAUCAGAGAAAACUCCCUAGAGCCAGUGAAUAGGGAACACAAUCCCAAACAAUGCAGGACAAGGAGAUCUUAUCAAAGAAAAACCCUUCUCAAAGCCUUAAUGACAGCCACAUUCUGUUUGAAUUACCACUACUGAACAAAUGGCGGCAGGCGCUUUCAUCCCCCCAGCUCUGCACAUUAACAUAAACACUGGCUCCAAAGGCAGAAUUUGAAUGGAGACAAGGGACCGGCCACCGCCGCACAAGCUCAAACUGUGGGAACACCACGGGCUGCUGUGGGAAGAGCGACGGGCCUGUAAGAGCUCCACUGCCAUCGUCCCCCGGGACAUGACUGUUGCCAGCGGUCGGCACCGGGGCACUGAGGCGCGGCGGCCUCGGGAGUAACCGGGAUCCCCACUUCGAGCCGCCCGGGGAGCCCCCGCCGUUCCCGCCGGUCGCGCUAGGCAGGGGAUGAGAGGGGAAUGACAUAAGUUGUUAUUUACUGCCAAAGUCGCCAUACUUUUUUUUUUGGCCACUAUAUAUAUAAAUGUUAAAAAAAAAGAGAGAAAGAAAAAGAAAAAGAAAAGGCAAAAGAGGAGACAGCAGUCGUGGGAGGCGUAUAUCAAAGUGGGGGACACGCAACUCUCCUGGCAGAUGCGGGGGGGAGAAAUAAAAGAGAGGGUCUGCAGGGGUAUUAACAUCACAAGGGAGUGUGGCGCCGGCCACGGCCUGACCCGUCCUGCCCGCAGCAGCCAGGACCGGUCUCCCGCCGCCGGGGCACCGGCGGGGCACGCCUUCGCACCUUCUGGCCCCGAUGGCACGGUCCGGCCCGGCCAGGGGCACGGCACAGCCCGCAGGAAUCGACGGGCGGCCGCCUGGGAGGCCUGGCCGCACGGAGACGUUAAUAAAGGGCAGGCGCCCAGUGACUCAGAAACAAA
Molecule: long non-coding RNA, 1584 nt
Organism: Pseudopipra pipra
Lineage: Eukaryota; Metazoa; Chordata; Aves; Passeriformes; Pipridae
Exons: 2
Source: RefSeq, a predicted model, not a curated record